GCGAUCUAAUCGUUGGGCUGCGGAAGAUACUGUUGGGCUAGGGGGCGGGAGAGGCCGACGGUAUUCCCGGGGUAGGGGUGAAAUCCUAUAAUCCCGGGAGGACCACCAGUGGCGAAGGCUGUCGGCUAGAACGCGCUCGACGGUGAGGGACGAAAGCUGGGGGAGCGAACCGGAUUAGAUACCCGGGUAGUCCCAGCUGUAAACGAUGCGGGCUAGGUGUUAAGGUGGCCACGAGCCACCUCAGUGCCGCAGGGAAGCCAUUAAGCCCGCCGCCUGGGGAGUACGGCCGCAAGGCUGAAACUUAAAGGAAUUGGCGGGGGAGCACCACAAGGCGUGAAGCUUGCGGUUUAAUUGGAGUCAACGCCGGGAACCUUACCGGGGGCGACAGCAGGAUGAAAGCCAGAUUGAAGGUCUUGCUGGACAAGCUGAGAGGAGGUGCAUGGCCGUCGCCAGUUCGUGCCGUGAGGUGUCCUGUUAAGUCAGGCAACGAUCGAGACCCGCACCCUUAGUUGCAACCCUUGCGGAUUCCGCAUGGGGCACACUACGGGGACUGCCGCCGAUAAGGCGGAGGAAGGAGCGGGCCACGGCAGGUCAGUAUGCCCCGAAUCCUCCGGGCCACACGCGAGCUGCAAUGGCAGGGACAAUGGGUUCCAACCUUGAAAGGGGGAGGUAAUCCUUAAACCCUGCCUCAGUUGGGAUCGAGGGUUGCAACCCGCCCUCGUGAACAUGGAAUGCCUAGUAAUC
This 744-nucleotide ribosomal RNA is filed under the name uncultured crenarchaeote. Its description in RNAcentral is "bacterial SSU rRNA". It matches the Rfam family "Archaeal small subunit ribosomal RNA", at positions 554 to 1299 of the family's 1478-position model. Lineage: Archaea; Thermoproteati; Thermoproteota. The record is from RNAcentral.